GACGAACGCUGGCGGCGUGCUUAACACAUGCGAGUCGAACGGAAAGGCCCUGCUUUUGUGGGGUGCUCGAGUGGCGAACGGGUGAGUAACACGUGAGUAACCUGCCCUUGACUUUGGGAUAACUUCAGGAAACUGGGGCUAAUACCGGAUAGGAGCUCCUGCUGCAUGGUGGGGGUUGGAAAGUUUCGGCGGUUGGGGAUGGACUCGCGGCUUAUCAGCGUGUUGGUGGGGUAGUGGCUUACCAAGGCGUUGACGGAUAGCCGGCCUGAGAGGGUGACCGGCCACGUGGGGACUGAGAUACGGCCCAGACUCCUACGGGAGGCAGCGGUGGGGAAUAUUGCACAAUGGGCGGAGGCCUGAUGCAGCAACGCCGCGUGCGGGAUGACGGCCUUCGGGUUGUAAACCGCUUUCGCCUGUGACGAAGCGUGAGUGACGGUAAUGGGUAAAGAAGCACCGGCUAACUACGUG
This 468-nucleotide ribosomal RNA is filed under the name uncultured bacterium. RNAcentral describes it as "partial 16S ribosomal RNA". It matches the Rfam family "Bacterial small subunit ribosomal RNA", at positions 28 to 507 of the family's 1533-position model. The record is from RNAcentral.